RNAcentral lists this ribosomal RNA (460 nucleotides) under uncultured bacterium. RNAcentral describes it as "partial 16S ribosomal RNA". It matches the Rfam family "Bacterial small subunit ribosomal RNA", at positions 338 to 795 of the family's 1533-position model. The record is from RNAcentral.
CCUACGGGAGGCAGCAGUGAGGAAUAUUGGUCAAUGGGCGCGAGCCUGAACCAGCCAAGUCGCGUGAAGGAUGAAUGCCCUACGGGUCGUAAACUUCUUUUGUCAAGGAAUAAAGUCAGGCACGUGUGCCUUUUUGUAUGUACUUUAUGAAUAAGGAUCGGCUAACUCCGUGCCAGCAGCCGCGGUAAUACGGAGGAUCCGAGGGUUAUCCGGAUUUAUUGGGUUUAAAGGGAGCGUAGAUGGGUUGUUAAGUCAGUUGUGAAAGUUUGGGGCUCAACCGUAAAAUUGCAAUUGAUACUGGCAGUCUUGAGUACAGGUGAGGUAGGCGGAAUGCGUGGUGUAGCGGUGAAAUGCUUAGAUAUCACGAAGAACUCCGAUUGCGAAGGCAGCUUACUAACCCGCCACUGACACUGAUGCUCGAAAGUGUGGGUAUCAAACAGGAUUAGAUACCCCUGUAGUC